UAGGGAAUCUUCCGCAAUGGACGCAAGUCUGACGGAGCAACGCUGCGUGAGUGAAGAAGGAUUUCGGUUCGUAAAACUCUGUUGUUAGAGAAGAACAGCGCAUAGAGUAACUGUUAUGCGUGUGACGGUAUCUAACCAGAAAGCCACGGCUAACUACGUGCCAGCAGCCGCGGUAAUACGUAGGUGGCAAGCGUUGUCCGGAUUUAUUGGGCGUAAAGCGAGCGCAGGCGGUCAAUUAAGUCUGAUGUGAAAGCCCCCGGCUCAACCGGGGAGAGUCAUUGGAAACUGGUUGACUUGAGUGCAGAAGAGGAGAGUGGAAUUCCAUGUGGAGCGGUGAAAUGCGUAGAUAUAUGAAGGAACACCAGUGGCGAAGGCGACUCUCUGGUCUGUAACUGACGCUGAGGCUCGAAAGCGUGGGUAGCAAACAGG
RNAcentral lists this ribosomal RNA (429 nucleotides) under Bacteroidota bacterium. RNAcentral describes it as "Bacteroidetes bacterium partial 16S ribosomal RNA". It matches the Rfam family "Bacterial small subunit ribosomal RNA", at positions 355 to 776 of the family's 1533-position model. The record is from RNAcentral. Lineage: Bacteria; Pseudomonadati; Bacteroidota.